UACAGAGGUCUCAAGCGUUGUUCGGAUUCAUUGGGCGUAAAGGGUGCGUAGGUGGCGCACUAAGUCAGGUGUGAAAUUUCGGAGCUUAACUCCGAAACUGCAUUUGAUACUGGCGUGCUUGAGGACUGGAGAGGAGACUGGAAUUCAUGGUGUAGCAGUGAAAUGCGUAGAGAUCAUGAGGAAGACCAGUGGCGAAGGCGGGUCUCUGGACAGUUCCUGACACUGAGGCACGAAGGCCAGGGGAGCAAACGGG
RNAcentral lists this ribosomal RNA (253 nucleotides) under uncultured bacterium. RNAcentral describes it as "partial 16S ribosomal RNA". It matches the Rfam family "Bacterial small subunit ribosomal RNA", at positions 524 to 776 of the family's 1533-position model. The record is from RNAcentral.